This 429-nucleotide ribosomal RNA is filed under the name Acidobacteriota bacterium. RNAcentral describes it as "Acidobacteria bacterium partial 16S ribosomal RNA". It matches the Rfam family "Bacterial small subunit ribosomal RNA", at positions 355 to 776 of the family's 1533-position model. Lineage: Bacteria; Pseudomonadati; Acidobacteriota. The record is from RNAcentral.
UGGGGAAUUUUGGACAAUGGGGGAAACCCUGAUCCAGCCAUCCCGCGUGUGCGAUGAAGGCCUUCGGGUUGUAAAGCACUUUUGGCAGGUAAGAAACGUCAUGGGUUAAUACCCCGUGAAACUGACGGUACCUGCAGAAUAAGCACCGUCUAACUACGUGCCAGCAGCCGCGGUAAUACGUAGGGUGCAAGCGUUAAUCGGAAUUACUGGGCGUAAAGCGUGCGCAGGCGGUUCGGACAGAAAGAUGUGAAAUCCCAGAACUCAACUUUGGAACUGCAUUUUUAACUACCGGGCUAGAGUGUGUCAGAAGGAGGUGGAAUUCCGCGUGUAGCAGUGAAAUGCGUAGAUAUGCGUAGGAACACCGAUGGCGAAGGCAGCCUCCUGGAAUAACACUGACGCUAAUGCACGAAAGCGUGGGGAGCAAACAGG